GAUGAACGCUGGCGGCGUGCCUAAUACAUGCAAGUCGAGCGAACAGACGAGGAGCUUGCUCCUCUGACGUUAGCGGCGGACGGGUGAGUAACACGUGGAUAACCUACCUAUAAGACUGGGAUAACUUCGGGAAACCGGAGCUAAUACCGGAUAAUAUAUUGAACCGCAUGGUUCAAAAGUGAAAGACGGUUUUGCUGUCACUUAUAGAUGGAUCCGCGCCGCAUUAGCUAGUUGGUAAGGUAACGGCUUACCAAGGCAACGAUGCGUAGCCGACCUGAGAGGGUGAUCGGCCACACUGGAACUGAGACACGGUCCAGACUCCUACGGGAGGCAGCAGUAGGGAAUCUUCCGCAAAGGGCGAAAGCCUGACGGAGCAACGCCGCGUGAGUGAUGAAGGUCUUCGGAUCGUAAAACUCUGUUAUUAGGGAAGAACAAAUGUGUAAGUAACUAUGCACAUCUUGACGGUACCUAAUCAGAAAGCCACGGCUAACUACGUG
RNAcentral lists this ribosomal RNA (497 nucleotides) under uncultured bacterium. Its description in RNAcentral is "partial 16S ribosomal RNA". It matches the Rfam family "Bacterial small subunit ribosomal RNA", at positions 28 to 507 of the family's 1533-position model. The record is from RNAcentral.